This 1106-nucleotide long non-coding RNA is filed under the name Chrysolophus pictus (golden pheasant). RNAcentral's name for it is "lncRNA (ENSCPIG00010001309.1)". The record is from RNAcentral. Lineage: Eukaryota; Metazoa; Chordata; Aves; Galliformes; Phasianidae.
GUUGGAACUAGGUGAUCUUUAAGGUCCCCUCUAAGCCCCCUGCUGUAGGCAGGGUUGCCACCCACUAGACUGGCAAGGCUGCCCAGGGGCCCAUACAACCUCAGUUUGAACAUCUCCAGGAAUGGCACAUCCACAGCUUUUCUGGGCAGCCUUGCCAGUGCCUCACCACUCUACGAGUGAAGAAUUUCCUCCUAACAUCUCCCUUCUUUUAGUUCAAAGCCAAUCCCCCCAUUGUCCUACCACUAUUAGUCUGCACAAAAAUUUAGUCCCCCUCCUGCCUAUAAGCUCUCUUCAGUACUGGAAGGCCAAAACAAAGUUUCCCCAGAUCCUUUACUUCUCCAGACUGGAGAAGCUCUGCUCCCUCAACCUUUCUUUGUAGGAGAGGUGCUCCAGCCCUCUGAUCAUCUUCAUGGUCCUCCUCCAGACCCAUUCCAACAGCUCCACAUCCUUCUUGUGCUGGGAGCCCCAGGUCUAUGCACAGUACUCCAGAUACGACGUCAAGAGGACAGAGUAGAGGGGAAUAAUCCCCUCCCUCACUCUGCUGGCCACCCCUCUCCUGAUGCAGUCCAGGACACUGUUGGCCUUCUGUGCCACAAGCACACACCACUGGCUCAUGUCCAGUUUUUCAUCCAGCAGGACCCCCAAGGCCUUUUCUGUGGGGCUGCUCUCAAUCAGUUCUUUUCUGUACACAUAUCCAGGAUUGCCUUGACACAGGUGCAACACCUUACCUUGCACCUGGCCUUGUUGAAGCUCACUAGGUUCACAGGGGCCCACUUUCCAAGUCCGUCCAGGUCCCCCUGGAAGGCGUCCCUUCUUUAUGCUGUUAACAGCUGCACCACUCAGGUUCGUGUCAUCAGCAAACUUGUUGAGGGGACACUCAAUCCCACUAUCUAUGUCAUCAAUAAAGACACUGAAGAGCACUGGUCCCAAGAUGGACACCUUGGGGCAUCACACAGGACUGGCCUCCACCUGGACACAGAGCCAUUUAUCACAACCCUUUGGCUGUGACAAAUUCUUCAUCCACCAAGCUAUUCAGCUUUUAAAUACACACUUCACCAACUUAGAGACAAGGAUGUGGUGCAGGAUCAUGUCAAAGGCUUUACAGG